RNAcentral lists this ribosomal RNA (413 nucleotides) under uncultured bacterium. RNAcentral describes it as "partial 16S ribosomal RNA". It matches the Rfam family "Bacterial small subunit ribosomal RNA", at positions 355 to 759 of the family's 1533-position model. The record is from RNAcentral.
UGGGGAAUUUUGGACAAUGGGCGAAAGCCUGAUCCAGCAAUGCCGCGUGUGUGAAGAAGGCCUUCGGGUUGUAAAGCACUUUUGUCCGGAAAGAAAUCCUUGGCUCUAAUACAGUCGGGGGAUGACGGUACCGGAAGAAUAAGCACCGGCUAACUACGUGCCAGCAGCCGCAGUAAUACGUAGGGUGCAAGCGUUAAUCGGAAUUACUGGGCGUAAAGCGUGCGCAGGCGGUUUGCUAAGACCGAUGUGAAAUCCCCGGGCUCAACCUGGGAACUGCAUUGGUGACUGGCAGGCUAGAGUAUGGCAGAGGGGGGUAGAAUUCCACGUGUAGCAGUGAAAUGCGUAGAGAUGUGGAGGAAUACCGAUGGCGAAGGCAGCCCCCCUGGGCCAAUACUGACGCUCAUGCACGAAAA